GAACGUAACGCGAAAACUGACUAACAGCCUUGUAUUCACAGGAACCCAAACCGACUCUUAAUCAGCGGGUCCAAGGUUCGAGUCCUUGUGCGUCCACCA
RNAcentral lists this transfer RNA (99 nucleotides) under Roseospira visakhapatnamensis. RNAcentral describes it as "tRNA-Ser". The record is from RNAcentral. Lineage: Bacteria; Pseudomonadati; Pseudomonadota; Alphaproteobacteria; Rhodospirillales; Rhodospirillaceae.